RNAcentral lists this ribosomal RNA (253 nucleotides) under uncultured bacterium. RNAcentral's name for it is "partial 16S ribosomal RNA". It matches the Rfam family "Bacterial small subunit ribosomal RNA", at positions 524 to 776 of the family's 1533-position model. The record is from RNAcentral.
UACGUAGGGGGCAAGCGUUGUCCGGAUUUAUUGGGCGUAAAGAGCGUGUAGGCGGCUUUACAGGUCCGUUGUGAAAACUCGAGGCUCAACCUCGAGACGCCGGUGGAAACCGUAAAGCUAGAGUCCGGAAGAGGAGAGUGGAAUUCCUGGUGUAGCGGUGAAAUGCGCAGAUAUCAGGAGGAACACCCGUGGCGAAAGCGGCUCUCUGGGACGGUACUGACGCUGAGACGCGGAAGCGUGGGGAGCAAACAGG